This 2217-nucleotide ribosomal RNA is filed under the name Triops cancriformis. RNAcentral describes it as "eukaryotic LSU rRNA". It matches the Rfam family "Eukaryotic large subunit ribosomal RNA", at positions 44 to 1881 of the family's 3401-position model. Lineage: Eukaryota; Metazoa; Arthropoda; Branchiopoda; Notostraca; Triopsidae. The record is from RNAcentral.
CAGUAAGCGGAGGAAAAGAAACUAAAAAGGAUUCCCUUAGUAGCGGCGAGCGAACAGGGAUAAGCCCAGCACUGAACCUCGUGUCUCCGGAUACCGAGGAAUGUAGUGUUCAGGAGAGAGGUGGUUUGCCUGUCCGGUGAUUGUCCAAGUCCCCAUGAUCGGGGCUAGAGUCCGCAGAGGGUGUCAGGCCCGUAGUGACGCGCCGCGACCGUGAACACUUUAUCUCCUAAGAGUCGGGUUGCUUGAGAGUGCAGCCCUAAGCGGGAGGUAAACUCCUUCUAAGGCUAAAUACCGCCACGAGACCGAUAGCAAACAAGUACCGCGAGGGAAAGUUGAAAAGAACUUUGAAGAGAGAGUUCAAGAGUGCGUGAAACCGUUCAGGGGGUUAAACGGGUGGGCCCUCGAAGGUCGAACGGCAUCUACUCCCGUUACCUGCAUACGAGCCUGCGCUUGGACGAGCCGCAUUCUGCGGCCGCCGGGUGUGGUACGCUUGGGGCGUGCAGGGACCGCAAGUUGGAUGCCUAGUAGGACUCCGCAACCGGCUGGGCUCGGUCGUCAGACGGGUCUUGAGGAUCGGCCUCCUUGUGGGGCCGUAUUUUUGAGAUUCCCGGCGAUCGCUCGGCCGUUGAGUGCUGCCUCGCUGUUCCUUAGAAUGGACGAGCGUUUCGUACUCGCCUGAAAUGGGCGGGUCGGGGCGUUGUCGGUUCGUUCGAGGCUCCGGUGAGAAGCGCGGAGAGUAGGUCGGGUCCCACCCGACCCGUCUUGAAACACGGACCAAGGAGUCUAACAUGUGCGCGAGUCGUCGAGUUGUACCAAACUCGAAGGCGUAAUGAAAGUAAAGGCUCGGUUUCCGAGCUGAGGGGAGAUCCCGUUCUGCUUCUGUAGCGCGGGCGCAUCCCCGGGGCGUCUAUACUGCGUUGCCAGUGAGACGAACCUAGAGCGUACACGUUGGGACCCGAAAGAUGGUGACCUAUGCCUGGCCAGGACGAAGCCAGGGGAAACCCUGGUGGAGGUCCGCAGCGAUUCUGACGUGCAAAUCGAUCGUCGGAGUUGGGUAUAGGGGCGAAAGACUAAUCGAACCAUCUAGUAGCUGGUUCCCCCCGAAGUUUCCCUCAGGAUAGCUGGUGCUCGAAAUAAGACACGGAGUUUCAUCCGGUAAAGCGAAUGAUUAGAGGCCUUGGGGUCGAAACGACCUCAACCUAUUCUCAAACUUUCAAUGGGUGAGAAGCCCGGCUUAGCCUAAGCGAAGCCGUGGCAGUCGAAUCCGAGCGCCCAGUGGGCCACUUUUGGUAAGCAGAACUGGCGCUGUGGGAUGAACCAAACGUCUGGUUAAGGCGCCCAAACAACGCACAUUCCGGAACCCACAAAAGGAGUUGGUUGCUAAAGACAGCAGGACGGUGGCCAUGGAGGUCGGAACCCGCUCAGGAGUGUGUAACAACUCACCUGCCGAAGCAACUAGCCCUUAAAAUGGGAGGCGCUAUAGCGUUGUGCCUAUACCAGACCGCCGGUGGCAGAGCCUGCCCCCUGUAAAAUGGGGUGCACUGAGGCCCCGGUGAGUAGGGGGGUCGCCGCGGUGUGCGUAGAAGGGUCUGGGCGUGAGCCUGCCUGGAGCCGCCGCUGGUGCAGAUCUUGGUGGUAGUAGCAAAUACUCCAGAGAGAUCCUGGAGGACUGACGUGGAGAAGGGUUUCAUGUGAACAGUGGUUGAACAUGAGUCAGUCGGUCCUAAGCCGCAGGUGAAAUCCGGCCCAGGGAACGGCGCGUCGCAUACAGAAUCCACCAAAGAAUGAAAACUCGAGAAAAGUGCGUGUGUCUCGUGAGAACAUGAGGGGUUGUUCCCGCUGUUGACCACACUUUUUAGGAGGGUUUUUUUCUUGGAAAGACUUUGUGCCACGAAGCGCCGCUGGGUUAGGCGAAAGGGAAUCCGGUUCUAAUUCCGGAACCCGGUUGCGGAUACGUCCGAGCUCUCGUAGCUCGUCAUGGUAACAUGACAUGACCCGGAGAAGCUGGCGGGGACCCCGGGAAGAGUUUUCUUUUCUGCUUGAGGGGUCGAGACCCUGGAAUUCUGUCGUGGAGCGAUAGGGUUUUGACCCCGAAGAGCGCCGCAGGUCUGCGGCGUCCGUGGGUUCUUGCCGGCCCAUGAAAAUCCGGGGGAGGGCCACGUGGACAUUCCAACCGGACCGUACCGAUAACCGCAUCAGGUCUCCAAGGUAACAGCC